Molecule: ribosomal RNA, 529 nt
Filed under: Ulocladium sp. CGMCC5507
Lineage: Eukaryota; Fungi; Ascomycota; Dothideomycetes; Pleosporales; Pleosporaceae
Description: eukaryotic LSU rRNA
Rfam family: 5.8S ribosomal RNA (bases 169-322)
Source: RNAcentral
CCCAGCAGUGCGUUGCUUUGCGGCGUGCGCUGUUGGGGCCAGCCUUGAUGAAUUAUUCACCCGUGUCUUUUGCGUACUUCUUGUUUCCUUGGUGGGUUCGCCCACCAUAGGACAAACCAUAAACCUUUUGUAAUUGCAAUCAGCGUCAGUAAAAAAAUUAAUAAUUACAACUUUUAACAACGGAUCUCUUGGUUCUGGCAUCGAUGAAGAACGCAGCGAAAUGCGAUAAGUAGUGUGAAUUGCAGAAUUCAGUGAAUCAUCGAAUCUUUGAACGCACAUUGCGCCCUUUGGUAUUCCAAAGGGCAUGCCUGUUCGAGCGUCAUUUGUACCCUCAAGCUUUGCUUGGUGUUGGGCGUCUUGUCUCCAGUUCGCUGGAGACUCGCCUUAAAGUAAUUGGCAGCCGGCCUACUGGUUUCGGAGCGCAGCACAAGUCGCGCUCUCUUCCAGCCAAGGUCAGCAUCCACAAAGCCUUUUUUCAACUUUUGACCUCGGAUCAGGUAGGGAUACCCGCUGAACUUACACAUAUCAC